This 73-nucleotide transfer RNA is filed under the name Bdellovibrionales bacterium. RNAcentral describes it as "tRNA-Ala". It matches the Rfam family "tRNA". From Rfam's summary of the family: Transfer RNA (tRNA) molecules are approximately 80 nucleotides in length. Their secondary structure includes four short double-helical elements and three loops (D, anti-codon, and T loops). Lineage: Bacteria; Pseudomonadati; Bdellovibrionota; Bdellovibrionia; Bdellovibrionales. The record is from RNAcentral.
GGGCCCAUAGCUCAGCUGGGAGAGCGCAUGACUGGCAGUCAAGAGGUCGGCGGUUCGAUCCCGCCUGGGUCCA